GAUGAACGCUGGCGGCAGGCUUAACACAUGCAAGUCGAACGCCCCGCAAGGGGAGUGGCAGACGGGUGAGUAACGCGUGGGAAUCUACCCAUCCCUACGGAACAACUCCGGGAAACUGGAGCUAAUACCGUAUACGCCCUUAGGGGGAAAGAUUUAUCGGGGAUGGAUGAGCCCGCGUUGGAUUAGCUAGUUGGUGGGGUAAAGGCCUACCAAGGCGACGAUCCAUAGCUGGUCUGAGAGGAUGAUCAGCCACAUUGGGACUGAGACACGGCCCAAACUCCUACGGGAGGCAGCAGUGGGGAAUAUUGGACAAUGGGCGCAAGCUUGAUCCAGCCAUGCCGCGUGAGUGAUGAAGGCCUUAGGGCUGUAAAGCUCUUUCACCGAUGAAGAUAAUGACGGUAGUCGGAGAAGAAGCCCCGGCUAACUUCGUGCCAGCCGCCGCCGUAA
RNAcentral lists this ribosomal RNA (447 nucleotides) under uncultured bacterium. RNAcentral describes it as "partial 16S ribosomal RNA". It matches the Rfam family "Bacterial small subunit ribosomal RNA", at positions 28 to 523 of the family's 1533-position model. The record is from RNAcentral.